UCAUGGUAUAAUCCUCAACUCAAGCUUAUAAUAUCAUCUCUUCACACUACAUAUAAUCCACAAAAAAUGUACCCUCUAACUGAAAUAUGUAAUAUGCUCAUCGGGCUAAAAACUUUUGCCACGAGCCUUUCGCCUCCUUCAUAAACGAAAGCAGGUCUCCAAGACCUCUAAUAAUUAAUUUUAGAACACAGUCAUGACCCCCCAGUGAAUUAUAUAUACACAAUUAAGACCCCUUCAUCCACAAUCCAAGACCCCUCAAUGUAGUAUAGAACACGGUCAAAACACUUCAGUGAACUAGGAAAAAUAUAUAAUUAUGGGUACUUUUCUAGUCGAUCUGAAUAUCAUGUCUCAUAUUCCAAUUCACAAAUGUACCAUAUACAAUUUUUGAAAUUUCACAUGUAUCACAGUAAAAGAAACUUACAUGGUAAUCAUAUAAUUC
RNAcentral lists this long non-coding RNA (439 nucleotides) under Olea europaea (common olive). RNAcentral's name for it is "long non-coding RNA (OEUR_LNC014678)". The record is from RNAcentral. Lineage: Eukaryota; Viridiplantae; Streptophyta; Magnoliopsida; Lamiales; Oleaceae.